This is a long non-coding RNA of Microtus oregoni (creeping vole), 477 nucleotides long. RefSeq lists it as uncharacterized. The record is from RefSeq and is a predicted model, not a curated record. NCBI's taxonomy places the organism in Eukaryota, Metazoa, Chordata, Mammalia, Rodentia, Cricetidae. The transcript has 3 exons.
AGAAAAUGCAGACUCCAAGACUAACCCAGGAAUCACAGAUAUUAAGGCUGAAGUGGUUGCUUCAGAGUCUCGAGCACGUCUCCUGCACGGCAUACAGGAACAGAUGAAACACCCAGGUCCGUCAGUUUUUUUCCUUCCCCUUGCUCCCUUUCCGUUGGCUGCUCUUUUGGAUCAUGUGAUUCAACCGGUCAAGCGGAGGAUUCUGAUUUGAACCAAUAAGGAGAGAGCUCGCAAAACAAGCACCGGAAAGCACAGGACAGCAAUUAACAUGGUGAUCUUAUCCAGAGCUGAUGAGUCAUCUGUGACUCCCUCUGCCCUGCGUGCUGUGAAAAGAAGCAGGGCAACUGACAGAACACAGGAUAAAAUGCAAUUUACCCUGUUUUUUUUUUGCCUACAGUUAACAGGAGACAAAACUGGCAAUGUAUGACAGGUUGUCUGAGCGAGCUUGCAGCUGUUUUGCCUCCAAUGUACCCUCCA